RNAcentral lists this ribosomal RNA (463 nucleotides) under uncultured bacterium. RNAcentral describes it as "bacterial SSU rRNA". It matches the Rfam family "Bacterial small subunit ribosomal RNA", at positions 331 to 792 of the family's 1533-position model. The record is from RNAcentral.
CCAGACUCCUACGGGAGGCAGCAGUGAGGAAUAUUGGUCAAUGGCCGAGAGGCUGAACCAGCCAAGUCGCGUGAGGGAUGACGGCCCUACGGGUUGUAAACCUCUUUUGUCGGGGAGCAAAGAGAGUCACGUGUGGCUCAUUGAGAGUACCCGAAGAAAAAGCAUCGGCUAACUCCGUGCCAGCAGCCGCGGUAAUACGGAGGAUGCGAGCGUUAUCCGGAUUUAUUGGGUUUAAAGGGUGCGCAGGCGGAGGUGCAAGUCAGUGGUCAAAUUGCGGGGCUCAACCCCGUACUGCCGUUGAAACUGGCGGGCUGGAGUUGGAGAGAAGUACGCGGAAUGCGCGGUGUAGCGGUGAAAUGCUUAGAUAUCGCGCAGAACCCCGAUUGCGAAGGCAGCGUACCGGCUCCACACUGACGCUGAGGCACGAAAGCGUGGGUAUCGAACAGGAUUAGAUACCCCUGUA